AGACCUCACCCAUGGUGAUCAGCACCCAUCAAGGCAAAUGGCUCAUACCAGGGUCUCCAGAAAGGCUUGUGUUGGUUGAGCUUGUCAGCACAGUAGACUCCCCUACACGCCUGGUGUUGUUUGGGUUCUACAGGAAGGUGGGGAGCAUCAGAACCCAGGACACCCCAAGCUUUCUGAACCUUGGUGGUAUUGAUUGGCGAGGUCUAGAAGGAAGACAGGCAAAGCUCCAUUGGGGGUCAGACCUUCGCCAGCUGAACAGGAGAAGUAAAGUUGCCUGUUUCCUAGGAGAUUCGGCAGAAUGUCUUCCAGAGCUUAGGAUAAGUGGGAAUAUAUUCUCUGCUAUAGCAGUCCCUACCUUCUGGGGAAAACACAAAGGAAAGAUUGGUGAGACCAACUUCCAAGUGAAAAUAAAGAGAAGCUUACCGAC
This 427-nucleotide long non-coding RNA is filed under the name Rattus norvegicus (Norway rat). Its description in RNAcentral is "long non-coding RNA NONRATT017700". Lineage: Eukaryota; Metazoa; Chordata; Mammalia; Rodentia; Muridae. The record is from RNAcentral.